ACUAACGCGAACCCUAGGUUUUGCUCCUCCCUUCUCUCGUUGCCUCGCCCACCCCCACUCCCCCGUCUGCCACCUCCGCUACACACCCGAAGGGUGAGAAGGCAAGGAGGAAGGGGAAGAUGCUGGCGAGGCCCGGGCUCCGGUCCCGGUCUGUCGUCUACCCCUAUCCAACCCCGACCCAAUCCAAUGAAGUAGAUUCCCCAUCAAGCAGCUGCCAGCGACCCCAAUCCACCGCCGGCCAGCGACCCCAACCCCGGCCAUGACUCCAUCGUCGCGCCACCUCCCCUCCAUGACUGGAGAUCCACUCGAGCUCCUCCUCUCCAAUCCCUUCGCUGACGACGACACCCAACCCCACACCCACCGACGACUGUCUCCCCCAACCCCAUCACCACCGAAGACCUUAGGUUUGACUCGCAGGCGGGCGGGGUGACAGCGCCCAAAACCGUAGCUCCUCACCUACUCACCCAUGGAUGGAUGGAUGGAUGGGGACGGGGCAAUGACGCGGUGGAUCCACAGCCGCAACCACCUUCUCUCGAUGGGGACCUCGACACCGACGAACACCACUUCUACCUCGGACUCCAUGAUGUAAUCUCUAGCGAGACUUCAUCUCCGACCGUGGACAAGGAAGCCCUCGUCCCCAUGGUUGUUGCUGCUUCAAGUGGACAAGGAAACCCUGACGGUGACGGACGUGGUGUGUGUUGAUUAAAGGGUCUGCGUGAUGGAGGUUGGCAACAUAGACGAUUCAACGAUGAAGGUGGAGACAGAGGCGAGCCAUUCAUAGGGCCGGUCUUCGGUUCCCUGACCCUGACCCCGGGCGGCGUCGCCUCCUCGGCGAGGUAGUUGGGCCUCAAGAACAGCAUCGAGACCAACUUCGACGACGACCAUGUCUUUCAGAUAGCUUCUUGCCAGGAGAUCUCAACGCUCGAUGUGUCUCCGUCGACGAACGCACUGAAGUUCUAUUCUCCAGCAACUAGACAUUAUCUGGGGGACUGCACAAGCC
This is a long non-coding RNA of Hordeum vulgare subsp. vulgare (domesticated barley), 1000 nucleotides long. RefSeq lists it as uncharacterized. The transcript has 4 exons. NCBI's taxonomy places the organism in Eukaryota, Viridiplantae, Streptophyta, Magnoliopsida, Poales, Poaceae. The record is from RefSeq and is a predicted model, not a curated record.